AACGAACGCUGGCGGCAGGCUUAACACAUGCAAGUCGAGCGGGCCCGCAAGGGUCAGCGGCGGACGGGUUAGUAACGCGUGGGAACGUGCCUUUUGCUUCGGAAUAGCCCUGGGAAACUGGGGGUAAUACCGGAUGUGCCCUGAGGGGGAAAGAUUAUCGGCAAGAGAUCGGCCCGCGUUGGAUUAGGUAGUUGGUGGGGUACCGGCCCACCAAGCCGACGAUCCAUAGCUGGUUUGAGAGGAUGAUCAGCAACACUGGGACUGAGACACGGCCCAGACUCCUACGGGAGGCAGCAGUGGGGAAUCUUAGACAAUGGGCGCAAGCCUGAUCUAGCCAUGCCGCGUGGGUGAUGAAGGCCUUAGGGUCGUAAAGCCCUUUCGCCGGGGAAGAUAAUGACGGUACCCGGUAAAGAAACCCCGGCUAACUCCGUGCCAGCCGCCGCGGUAA
This 448-nucleotide ribosomal RNA is filed under the name uncultured bacterium. Its description in RNAcentral is "partial 16S ribosomal RNA". It matches the Rfam family "Bacterial small subunit ribosomal RNA", at positions 29 to 523 of the family's 1533-position model. The record is from RNAcentral.